This 198-nucleotide unclassified non-coding RNA is filed under the name uncultured Tyromyces. RNAcentral's name for it is "sequence contains ITS2". Lineage: Eukaryota; Fungi; Basidiomycota; Agaricomycetes; Polyporales; Incrustoporiaceae. The record is from RNAcentral.
UAUUCUCAAAUCUCUUCAUUUUAUGAAGUCGAUUUGGAGUUGGGGGUCUUGCAGGUGAACUCGUUCGUCUGCUCUCCUUGAAUGCAUUAGCUGGAACCUUUUGCUAGACCGGCUUUGGUGUGAUAAUUAUCUGCGCCAUGGUCGUAAGGCGAAUUAUAAAGGAUCUGCUUACAAUCGUCCUUAUGGACAAUUUCUGAC